UACGGGGGGAGCAAGCGUUGUUCGGAAUUACUGGGCGUAAAGGGCUCGUAGGCGGCCAACUAAGUCAUACGUGAAAUCCCUCGGCUUAACCGGGGAACUGCGUCUGAUACUGGAUGGCUUGAAUCCGGGAGAGGGAUGCAGAAUUCCAGGUGUAGCGGUGAAAUGCGUAGAUAUCUGGAGGAAUACCGGUGGCGAAGGCGGCAUCCUGGACCGGCAUUGACGCUGAGGAGCGAAAGCCAGGGGAGCAAACGGG
Molecule: ribosomal RNA, 253 nt
Filed under: uncultured bacterium
Lineage: Bacteria
Description: partial 16S ribosomal RNA
Rfam family: Bacterial small subunit ribosomal RNA
Source: RNAcentral